Molecule: non-coding RNA, 457 nt
Organism: Pelobates cultripes (western spadefoot toad)
Lineage: Eukaryota; Metazoa; Chordata; Amphibia; Anura; Pelobatidae
Source: the annotation of a GenBank genome assembly
UUUUUUUUUUGGACUAACAUAAUACUUAAAAGAGAAGCUUUUGUGGGUUUUCCACUCUUCAUCAGAUCUGAAUCAAUAUGAGAGUUUAACACUUAAAACAACGGUUUUAUUAGAGAAAAGAUAGUGGGGUGUCAUAAAUAGCAGGAGAUGUGCCUGAGAUUGAAAGGUGUAGAUUUUUGAGAAUAUCCAGAACAAGUAAAUAAACAGAGGAAACUCUCUCUCUCUCUAUCUAUCUAUCUAUCUCAGAGAAAGGCAUGCAAAAACACAGCUGCUUUUUAUGUGUAUGCAGGGACAGACUGACAGUGGCCUGAGAGAGAGAGACAGUGUAUUUGAUUGUAUGUAAAGUGAAUGUGUAUUUGUAUGUAGUGUCAGGAUAUGUGCAUUCAGAGUAUAUCUGAAUAAAUGUUUUUGGUUUUGUAAAUAGGGUUGUAUUUAUUUUGUCUGUUUGUGUAGCAUG